This 219-nucleotide long non-coding RNA is filed under the name Leptinotarsa decemlineata (Colorado potato beetle). Its description in RNAcentral is "uncharacterized LOC111512096". The record is from RNAcentral. Lineage: Eukaryota; Metazoa; Arthropoda; Insecta; Coleoptera; Chrysomelidae.
CGAAAGUUUACAAAAUAUUGUUCCAACCUAUUUUCAACUAUUUACCAAUCCUUAUUUAUGCGAUGGAAUAGAAACAUAUAAGGCGAUAUGGCUCUAAUAUGUAGUAAUCCUUCUGGAAGUGAUGAAUAACAAUCUAUGCAAGAAAUAUUCUCGGAAAGGUAUAGAGAAUAAGGCAGGCAGCGGCUGAAAAAUGAUAGGCGAAGUAAACUGAGAAACAAA